GAUGCCAAGGGAGGACGGGCUAACCCGCGCCGUGUGUUGGGGAGUUACACAACCAGUCCGGGCGGAUUGCGCGCUGCAAAUGUGAGUUUCUCAAGUCAGCCAAAGCUCCCGUGUCUCUCUCUCUCUCUCCUUUCCACCCCCCCAUCAUCUCUCUUUUUUUUUUUCCAAAUCUCUCGUCUUUUUUCUCUGCCCUUCUCCUCCCGCCUCCUUUGCUUUUUAAAAGUGUGCGCCGUGUGUUGGGGAGUUACACAACCAGUCCGGGCGGAUUGCGCGCUGCAAAUGUGAGUUUCUCAAGUCAGCCAAAGCUCCCGUGUCUCUCUCUCUCUCUCCUUUCCACCCCCCCAUCAUCUCUCUUUUUUUUUUUCCAAAUCUCUCGUCUUUUUUCUCUGCCCUUCUCCUCCCGCCUCCUUUGCUUUUUAAAAGUGUUUCCCCCCCGCCUUUGCUGCUUUCUGGAAAGGGUUUUUUUUUGCUUGAUUCAUUUUAAAUAUAUAUAUACCUAUUGCUUGCUGGCAUCUCUGGGAAGGCGAGAAUCAAAGGAUGAUGUGGUUUAUCCUGCGGGAGCCUGGCAGAGCAUCGAAGUCUCCAGCUUCUUCUGGUCACCCAUCUCGUUAGACUCGAAGCUGGGAACCGUUUCUUCCUCAUCUGUAUUUUCAUGGUGUUAAUAAGGCAUACUUACCGUACCCUGUCAUCCUGGACUGAUGAAUCUAAGGGAUAGAACAGGUAAUUUAUAAUCUGAUUAUAGAUUUCCUUUUGGUGACUCAGGCAGCCUCCUUAAUCUGGUUCCCCUCAUUUCUUUUACUUUUUCUUUUCCUUUUUGGAUAAACAGGCUUUGUGCUUGCAGAAUCUACUCUGCUCUUUAAUUUGGAUCCCAGAGUCCGUCAACUGGAUCCAGGAGGAAAAGGGUGACUUGGGGGACACAUGUAAAACUUUAAAUGAAGUCAUAGAGCACUCCUGACCAAAUGCUAAUCCCCAAGGGUUGCUUUUUGUUUGUUUUGCUGUUAACAAAAUGUAACUCAAAAGCUUCUCAUGCCUGUAACUACCGGAGAAUUUCACAACUUUAGCUUUCAAGUACAUUUCUUGCAUGUUGUACUAAUGGUUCCCGGUGCCGUUUUGAAAGGUGUGAAAAUAAUAGGUGUGUAAUAACAACAAAAAACACAAGUAUGCAUCCAGAUAGACUAAUGUAACUACCGGAGAAUUUCACAACUUUAACUUUCAAGUACAUUUCUUGCAUGUUGUACUAAUGGUUCCCGGUGCCGUUUUGAAAGGUGUGAAAAUAAUAGGUGUGUAAUAACAACAAAAAACACAAGUAUGCAUCCAGAUACAGUCAGAGCAAUGUUAGAUACGAUUAUGGGCAGAAUGUUUGCAAAUGCAGAAUGUAACAACUCCAGAGGUGGAAUGCUCCAUUUUCGCUCAGGCCAUCUCCGGUCACAGUUAUGCAGGCUGGAGAUGAACCUGUUGAAAGGAAAGCGCCUCUUCCCUUCAAAUUCCUCAGUUUCACAUAACAGACGGUUCUGCACUUGGUUCAGAGCAAAGAAGUUACUGGCCUAUAAUUGUUUCGGAAACACCCAUGUUUUUCUUUUUAAGCAAAUAUAUGGGAAGAAAGUGCAGAUAUACAGACCUCUUUAAAUAUCGGUGAGUACACCUCUGGGAAGCCAUGUCUUAUUUUCCACAUUGGUGCAGUGUUAUCACUGAAGAUGAUCCCAGAGUUUUUUACCAAACUCCGAGAGGCAGUGGAAGAUAGGAGGGCCUGGCGUGCUCUGGUCUAUGGGGUCACAAAGAGUCAGACACGUCUUAAUGACUAAACAACAAUAAAUCACUGAAGAUAUUCCA
This 1830-nucleotide long non-coding RNA is filed under the name Pogona vitticeps (central bearded dragon). Its description in RNAcentral is "lncRNA (ENSPVIG00000017790.1)". Lineage: Eukaryota; Metazoa; Chordata; Lepidosauria; Squamata; Agamidae. The record is from RNAcentral.